CCUAGUGUCUCCAAAUACCUCCACAUCGUCUACAGCUGUGAGAAGAAAGUGUGUCUUGACAGUCUGGGCAUCGCUGACGGGACAAUCCCAGACUCCUCCUUUUCAGCCUCUUCCUCUGCGUUCAAUGCCGAACCUCACAAAGCGCGUCUGGGGGGCAGCGGUUGCUGGAGACCCUCCGAAAUGCUCGGCAGCUGGAUCCAGGUGAACCUCGGUCAGAGCUUCAAGGUGACGGGCAUUGUGACCCACAGCUGUACAUA
Long non-coding RNA from Syngnathus acus (greater pipefish), 257 nucleotides. RefSeq lists it as uncharacterized. Lineage: Eukaryota; Metazoa; Chordata; Actinopteri; Syngnathiformes; Syngnathidae. The transcript is spliced from 3 exons. The record is from RefSeq and is a predicted model, not a curated record.